AGUGAACGCUGGCGGUAGGCCUAACACAUGCAAGUCGAACGGCAGCACAGUAAGAGCUUGCUCUUACGGGUGGCGAGUGGCGGACGGGUGAGGAAUACAUCGGAAUCUACUUUUUCGUGGGGGAUAACGUAGGGAAACUUACGCUAAUACCGCAUACGACCUACGGGUGAAAGCAGGGGAUCUUCGGACCUUGCGCGAUUGAAUGAGCCGAUGUCGGAUUAGCUAGUUGGUGGGGUAAAGGCCCACCAAGGCGACGAUCCGUAGCUGGUCUGAGAGGAUGAUCAGCCACACUGGAACUGAGACACGGUCCAGACUCCUACGGGAGGCAGCAGUGGGGAAUAUUGGACAAUGGGCGCAAGCCUGAUCCAGCCAUACCGCGUGGGUGAAGAAGGCCUUCGGAUUGUAAAGCCCUUUUGUUGGGAAAGAAGAGCAGCAAGUUAAUACCCCGCUGUUCUGACGGUACCCAAAGAAUAAGCACCGGCUAACUUCGUG
This 492-nucleotide ribosomal RNA is filed under the name uncultured bacterium. Its description in RNAcentral is "partial 16S ribosomal RNA". It matches the Rfam family "Bacterial small subunit ribosomal RNA", at positions 29 to 507 of the family's 1533-position model. The record is from RNAcentral.